RNAcentral lists this ribosomal RNA (379 nucleotides) under Escherichia coli. Its description in RNAcentral is "partial 23S ribosomal RNA". It matches the Rfam family "Bacterial large subunit ribosomal RNA", at positions 525 to 910 of the family's 2925-position model. Lineage: Bacteria; Pseudomonadati; Pseudomonadota; Gammaproteobacteria; Enterobacterales; Enterobacteriaceae. The record is from RNAcentral.
CCCGGGAGGGGAGUGAAAUAGAUCCUGAAACCGCAUGCAUACAAACAGUCGGAGCCUGGAAACGGGUGACGGCGUACCUUUUGUAUAAUGGGUCAGCGACUUACAUUCAGUGGCAAGCUUAACCGAUUAGGGAAGGCGUAGCGAAAGCGAGUCCGAAUAGGGCGUUCAGUCGCUGGGUGUAGACCCGAAACCAAGUGAUCUAUCCAUGGCCAGGUUGAAGGUGCGGUAACACGUACUGGAGGACCGAACCCACUAACGUUGAAAAGUUAGUGGAUGAGCUGUGGAUAGGGGUGAAAGGCUAAACAAACUUGGAAAUAGCUGGUUCUCUCCGAAAACUAUUUAGGUAGUGCCUCGUGUCUCACCUUCGGGGGUAGAGCAC